UUUAACUGCAACCAUGAGUUUCCGUGUCCAAUUUUGAUCGUCCGUCUUAUUUAAAUUUCUUUUAUAAUUAGUGUUUUUGUUGUUAUGAGAUGAUAAAAUAUGAAUAGUACUUUAUACAUGACUUAUAUUUUUAAUUUUUUUAAAAGAAAUUAUAAAUAAGACGGACGAUAGAAUUUUAGUAUGAAAACAUAGCUACACUUAAA
Molecule: microRNA precursor, 203 nt
Organism: Oryza rufipogon (brownbeard rice)
Lineage: Eukaryota; Viridiplantae; Streptophyta; Magnoliopsida; Poales; Poaceae
Rfam family: MIR812 microRNA precursor family
Source: Rfam